Molecule: long non-coding RNA, 733 nt
Organism: Neodiprion virginianus
Lineage: Eukaryota; Metazoa; Arthropoda; Insecta; Hymenoptera; Diprionidae
Exons: 3
Source: RefSeq, a predicted model, not a curated record
UUCUAUUCCGAACGAGCUGGCGUUAACUUACACCGUUGGUGUGUGGAGCUUGUGAUGUGGAUGGGAUGAGAAAACGUUGGAGGAAAGCAAGGGAGGGGGGAGGGUAGGAAGGAUCACCACCACUGAUGGAAAUCUGACCUGAGAUAUGUUUGUAAAUUAAUCAGCGACCCUCGUCUGUAUUCAUGAUCAUCGACCCCGAAAACCCCCGUGUAAGAAAAUUCAGGCAAAAAUAUUGAGCUGAAUAAUGUGCGACUGAAAGGGUUAAUCUGGAAGAUCGUCAUUUCAUUUAUGUAUUACACCAUGUGACAAAGAUUCGAGAACACAGAUUCUUAUAGAUACAAUGAAGAAGAUAUAAUACUUGAUGUGGAAAAAUGGUGUCAGAAUUUCGAAAACUGUGAUUUUUAUUUAUACAUACAAUAAUGCUAUGCUUGUCUAUGGAAAACUUAAGCGGAUAUCGAUACGACUUGCAAAAGUCUACAUAAAACGCAGUGCGAUGUAGCAGCUCGCCGACGCGCUACGCCGCUAACGUUGUCAUUAUCUCAGAGUGCUUGUAGCAGGAGGAAGUUCGCGCAAGAUCAAGUAUUUCUGGGAAGAGGGAAAGACCCGGGACCCUUGGAUAAAUGCGGAAGCCGAGGCGGGGUUAAAGAAAGAAUAAGAUGUUGGCUCUCCGUGUUAAAUGGUACCGAAAAUCGAUUAAGUGUCCUAGAGCUUUGAAUAUCGGUAAAUCAGCUCU